CCCUUAGAUGUUCUGGGCCGCACGCGUGCUACACUGAGUGGAUCAGCGGGUCAGGUUGCGCGAAAGCGUUUCCUAAUCUUUAAAUCCGCUCGUGAUGGGGAUUGACGGUUGCAAUUUUCUGUCAUGAACGAGGAAUACCUUGUAAGCGCGGGUCAUCAUCCCGCGCUGAAUACGUCCCUGCCCUUUGUACACACCGCCCGUCGCACCUACCGAUUGAAUGGUCCGGUGAGGCUUUGGGAUCUGAGCGGAAAGAGCGUUUCGCUGUUUCUGCUCGGAAAACUCAGUCGAACCUUAUCAUUUAGAGGAAGGAGAAGUCGUAACA
RNAcentral lists this ribosomal RNA (322 nucleotides) under uncultured eukaryote. RNAcentral's name for it is "partial 18S ribosomal RNA". It matches the Rfam family "Eukaryotic small subunit ribosomal RNA", at positions 1470 to 1796 of the family's 1831-position model. The record is from RNAcentral.